Non-coding RNA from Podarcis lilfordi (Lilford's wall lizard), 68 nucleotides. NCBI's taxonomy places the organism in Eukaryota, Metazoa, Chordata, Lepidosauria, Squamata, Lacertidae. The record is from the annotation of a GenBank genome assembly.
GGAUAGCCCAGUGGGAGGUCACGAGACUCUUAAUCUCAGGGCUGUGGGUUCGAACCCCAGGUUGAGCA